Apis mellifera (honey bee) is the source of this 1197-nucleotide long non-coding RNA. RefSeq lists it as uncharacterized. Lineage: Eukaryota; Metazoa; Arthropoda; Insecta; Hymenoptera; Apidae. The transcript is spliced from 2 exons. The record is from RefSeq and is a predicted model, not a curated record.
AUAUAAUAAGUAAUAAGUAAUAAUAAUAAUAAGUAAUAAUAAUAAUCAAACAGAAAUAUAAAAAAUUCGCGCAGUAUUAUCAAGCAGGAAUUAUGUUGGAGGAAAAAUGAUGAAUAGUAAUGAUUGAGUCAAUGUGAGUGGCGCGAAUCAAAAGCUCAAUAUAUAUAUGCGUUUCGAGAUUCUUUAUAGUGAAUCACAUCAAUUUCUUGUAUAAAUAAAAUAAAAAUAAACGAGUAAAAGAUUAUAAAAGUAUAUUAUAUUAUAAUAACGCGCUCGAAGCGUCAUUAUUUUGUAGUAAAUGAAGAUUUAUCGAAGUGAGAAAAUCGAUUUCUGUAACUUCGAUUGCAAAAAAUUUACAAAAAAAAAAAAAGAAAAUGUUAUGGUGACAAUCUAUUGAACCGAAACAAUUGAAAUCAUAUUAUAAAAAAUCGCGCAAAAAAAGAGAAAAGAAAGAUAUAAAAAAGAUCUAUCAUUGAAAAAAAGCACGAGAUAUAUAUUCGAGAAAACUAUGCAAAAUGAUGAAUACAUGAAAUCAUAAUUAGAUACCAAGCAUGACGUCAAGCAAGAAUCGUAGAACCAUGUAAGAGAAAUUGAUAUGUAGAAUUUUGUAUGAUUUCAGUAUCAGUGUUAAUAAAGAGUGGAGAGCUAAAAGAAGAUCCAUGUGGAAUUUUUAUGACUUAUCAUUCUACAUAGUCAAUUAUAUUUUCUAUGCAUAUAUUAUGUGAGCAAUGACUAAUUAUUUGCCGUUAAGUGUAUUAGUGAAAGAUAUCGUCAGACUUAUUUGCGUUAGUAUUAUCUACGUCAGCACCGGUUGCUUAGGAUUUACAUAGCAAACAGAUUGACGUGUUAAUAAGUGUAUAAAAGAGAAAUCGCGAUUUUGUGUUUUAUCACAUACUAGUUAUAUCACAUAUAUUCGUUAUAUACAUAGCGAGAAAAAGAUAGAGCAUAUGUAAGUCUUUUUUUGUUACUUCUGUAAAAAAGAAAGAGAGAAGAGAAUAGAACAAGAUAUGUAGAUAAUAAAGCAAAUGUAAUAAAGAACUUAAAAUAGAAAGAUGACUUCGAUUUAAAUUUCGCCUCAAGGAAAUAAACAAAUGAAGAGGAAUCGAAGAGAUUUUCUUUUUUUUUCAAGGAAAUUAUUGUGAUAUGUUUCUAUAAGUCUGAUAGUGUCAUGCUUAUGAUUGUAUAACGCAAAAAGAG